RNAcentral lists this ribosomal RNA (459 nucleotides) under uncultured bacterium. RNAcentral describes it as "partial 16S ribosomal RNA". It matches the Rfam family "Bacterial small subunit ribosomal RNA", at positions 338 to 795 of the family's 1533-position model. The record is from RNAcentral.
CCUACGGGCGGCAGCAGUGAGGAAUAUUGGUCAAUGGCCGGGAGGCUGAACCAGCCAAGUCGCGUGAGGGAUGACGGCCCUGCGGGUUGUAAACCUCUUUUGUCGGGGAACAAAGGGAGGCACGUGUGCCUGAUUGAGUGUACCUGAAGAAAAAGCAUCGGCUAACUCCGUGCCAGCAGCCGCGGUAAUCCGGAGGAUGCGAGCGUUAUCCGGAUUUAUUGGGUUUAAAGGGUGCGCAGGCGGUGGUUAAAGUCAGCGGUCAAAUGGCGGGGCUCAACCGCGUACUGACGUUGAUACUGGCAUCCUUGAGUGCGGGUGAGGUAGGCGGAAUGCGUGGUGUAGCGGUGAAAUGCAUAGAUAUCACGCAGAACUCCGAUUGCGAAGGCAGCAUACCGGCGCGCAACUGACGCUGAUGCACGAAAGCGUGGGUAUCGAACAGGAUUAGAUACCCGAGUAGUC